UAACCACUCAAGCUCUCGCUUGGUAUUGGGGUUCGCGGUCUCGCGGCCCCUAAAAUCAGUGGCGGUGCCUGUCGGCUCUACGCGUAGUAAUACUCCUCGCGAUUGAGUCCGGUAGGUUUACUUGCCAGCAACCCCUAAUUUUUCAUCA
RNAcentral lists this unclassified non-coding RNA (148 nucleotides) under Rhexocercosporidium panacis. RNAcentral describes it as "partial internal transcribed spacer 2". Lineage: Eukaryota; Fungi; Ascomycota; Leotiomycetes; Helotiales. The record is from RNAcentral.